UACGUAGGGUGCGAGCGUUAAUCGGAAUUACUGGGCGUAAAGUGUGCGCAGGCGGCUUCGCAAGUCGAGUGUGAAAUCCCCGAGCUUAACUUGGGAAUUGCGCUCGAAACUACGGAGCUGGAGUGUGGCAGAGGAAGGUGGAAUUCCACGUGUAGCGGUGAAAUGCGUAGAGAUGUGGAGGAACACCGAUGGCGAAGGCAGCCUUCUGGGCCAACACUGACGCUCAUGCACGAAGGUCAGGGGAGCAAACGGG
This 253-nucleotide ribosomal RNA is filed under the name uncultured bacterium. RNAcentral's name for it is "partial 16S ribosomal RNA". It matches the Rfam family "Bacterial small subunit ribosomal RNA", at positions 524 to 776 of the family's 1533-position model. The record is from RNAcentral.